AGAGUUUGAUCCUGGCUCAGGACGAACGCUGGCGGCGUGCUUAACACAUGCAAGUCGAACGGAAAGGCCCUGCUUUUGUGGGGUGCUCGAGUGGCGAACGGGUGAGUAACACGUGAGUAACCUGCCCUUGACUUUGGGAUAACUUCAGGAAACUGGGGCUAAUACCGGAUAGGAGCUCCUGCUGCAUGGUGGGGGUUGGAAAGUUUCGGCGGUUGGGGAUGGACUCGCGGCUUAUCAGCUUGUUGGUGGGGUAGUGGCUUACCAAGGCUUUGACGGGUAGCCGGCCUGAGAGGGUGACCGGCCACAUUGGGACUGAGAUACGGCCCAGACUCCUACGGGAGGCAGCAGUGGGGAAUAUUGCACAAUGGGCGGAAGCCUGAUGCAGCAACGCCGCGUGCGGGAUGACGGCCUUCGGGUUGUAAACCGCUUUCGCCUGUGACGAAGCGUGAGUGACGGUAAUGGGUAAAGAAGCACCGGCUAACUACGUGCCAGCAGCCGCGGUGAUACGUAGGGUGCGAGCGUUGUCCGGAUUUAUUGGGCGUAAAGGGCUCGUAGGUGGUUGAUCGCGUCGGAAGUGUAAUCUUGGGGCUUAACCCUGAGCGUGCUUUCGAUACGGGUUGACUUGAGGAAGGUAGGGGAGAAUGGAAUUCCUGGUGGAGCGGUGGAAUGCGCAGAUAUCAGGAGGAACACCAGUGGCGAAGGCGGUUCUCUGGGCCUUUCCUGACGCUGAGGAGCGAAAGCGUGGGGAGCGAACAGGCUUAGAUACCCUGGUAGUCCACGCUGUAAACGGUGGGUACUAGGUGUGGGGUCCAUUCCACGGGUUCCGUGCCGUAGCUAACGCUUUAAGUACCCCGCCUGGGGAGUACGGCCGCAAGGCUAAAACUCAAAGGAAUUGACGGGGCCCCGCACAAGCGGCGGAGCAUGCGGAUUAAUUCGAUGCAACGCGUAGAACCUUACCUGGGUUUGACAUGGAUCGGGAGUGCUCAGAGAUGGGUGUGCCUCUUUUGGGGUCGGUUCACAGGUGGUGCAUGGCUGUCGUCAGCUCGUG
RNAcentral lists this ribosomal RNA (1048 nucleotides) under uncultured Propionibacterium sp. RNAcentral describes it as "bacterial SSU rRNA". It matches the Rfam family "Bacterial small subunit ribosomal RNA", at positions 8 to 1064 of the family's 1533-position model. The record is from RNAcentral. Lineage: Bacteria; Bacillati; Actinomycetota; Actinomycetes; Propionibacteriales; Propionibacteriaceae.